UACCAGCACCCCGAGUGGUCGGGACGUUUAUUGGGCCUAAAGCAUCCGUAGCCGGUUCUACAAGUCUUCCGUUAAAUCCAGCUGCUUAACAGAUGGGCUGCGGAAGAUACUAUGGAGCUAGGAAGCGGGAGAGGCAAGCGGUACUCGAUGGGUAGGGGUAAAAUCCGUUGAUCCAUUGAAGACCACCAGUGGCGAAGGCGGCUUGCCAGAACGCGCUCGACGGUGAGGGAUGAAAGCUGGGGGAGCAAACCGG
This 253-nucleotide ribosomal RNA is filed under the name uncultured bacterium. Its description in RNAcentral is "partial 16S ribosomal RNA". It matches the Rfam family "Archaeal small subunit ribosomal RNA", at positions 474 to 727 of the family's 1478-position model. The record is from RNAcentral.